RNAcentral lists this unclassified non-coding RNA (222 nucleotides) under Hevea brasiliensis (rubber tree). The record is from RNAcentral. Lineage: Eukaryota; Viridiplantae; Streptophyta; Magnoliopsida; Malpighiales; Euphorbiaceae.
GGGCCUUCCUCUUCCUCGCCGGCUCCCCGGUGAACUCCUCCUGGGGCGCCGGGGCUGGCGAGACGGCCGGUGUGUAUGAAACCGUUUAUGUUGAUGGGAGAGCUCCCAUUGCCUCUAUCGAUGAAGAUUUUGUUUGCGCCACCCUAGACUGGUGGCCGCCGGAGAAGUGUGACUAUGGGACGUGUGCUUGGGGGCUUGCCUCUCUGCUCAACCUGAACCUCU